UACGUAGGGGGCGAGCGUUGUCCGGAUUUAUUGGGCGUAAAACGCUUGUAGGUGGCUACGUCAAGUCGGACGUGAAAUCUCCCGGCUUAACUGGGAGGGGUCGCUCGAUACUGGCGAGCUCGAGGCAGGUAGGGGGAAGCGGAAUUCCCGGUGUAGUGGUGGAAUGCGUAGAUAUCGGGAGGAACACCAGUGGCGAAGGCGGCUUCCUGGACCUGUUCUGACACUGAGGAGCGAAAGCGUGGGGAGCGAUCCGGAUUAGAUACCCGGGUAGUCCACGCCGUAAACGGUGAGCACUAGGUGUCGGGGGUAUCGACCCCUCCGGUGCCGCAGCUAACGCAUUAAGUGCUCUGCCUGGGGAGUACGGCCGCAAGGCUAAA
Molecule: ribosomal RNA, 377 nt
Filed under: uncultured bacterium
Lineage: Bacteria
Description: bacterial SSU rRNA
Rfam family: Bacterial small subunit ribosomal RNA
Source: RNAcentral